UCCCUCUGUGGAGCGGGGUGCCUGUCCCUGCCACUGGGUGACCCGCCCCUCUCCACCAG
This 59-nucleotide microRNA precursor is filed under the name Chlorocebus sabaeus (green monkey). Its description in RNAcentral is "miRNA (ENSCSAG00000025458.1)". The record is from RNAcentral. Lineage: Eukaryota; Metazoa; Chordata; Mammalia; Primates; Cercopithecidae.